GGUGCUCAGGGUCAUGGCUCUCU
Molecule: microRNA, 23 nt
Filed under: Callorhinchus milii (elephant shark)
Lineage: Eukaryota; Metazoa; Chordata; Chondrichthyes; Chimaeriformes; Callorhinchidae
Description: eshark_mir-764_1
Source: RNAcentral